This 524-nucleotide ribosomal RNA is filed under the name uncultured bacterium. Its description in RNAcentral is "partial 16S ribosomal RNA". It matches the Rfam family "Bacterial small subunit ribosomal RNA", at positions 28 to 523 of the family's 1533-position model. The record is from RNAcentral.
GACGAACGCUGGCGGCGUGCUUAACACAUGCAAGUCGAACGAGACGAUUGAAAGCUUGCUUUCGAAAGUCGCGUGGCAAACGGGUGAGUACAGCGUAGACAACCUGCCUUUGAGAUGCUGACAACAGUUCGAAAGGCCUGCUAAUACCGAAUGUCGUAUAUUUUCAACAUGGAAGAUAUCUUAAAGAUGACCUCUAUUUCUAAGCUACUCCCCAACGCAGGGUCUGCGUCUGAUUAGCUGGUUGGUGGGGUAACGGCCUACCAAGGCGACGAUCAGUAGCCGGUCUGAGAGGAUGAACGGCCACAUUGGGACUGAGACACGGCCCAGACUCCUACGGGAGGCAGCAGUGGGGAAUCUUCCACAAUGGACGAAGGUCUGAUGGAGCAACGCCGCGUGAGUGAAGAAGGGUUUCGGCUCGUAAAGCUCUGUUGUCGGGGACGAAUGUGCAGUAUUUGAAUAAAGUACUGCAAUGACGGUACCUGACGAGGAAGCCACGGCUAACUACGUGCCAGCCGCCGCAGUAA